ACUUAAAUUGAAGAGUUUGAUCAUGGCUCAGAUUGAACGCUGGCGGCAGGCCUAACACAUGCAAGUCGAGCGGUAGCACAGAGAGCUUGCUCUCGGGUGACGAGCGGCGGACGGGUGAGUAAUGUCUGGGAAACUGCCUGAUGGAGGGGGAUAACUACUGGAAACGGUAGCUAAUACCGCAUAACGUCGCAAGACCAAAGUGGGGGACCUUCGGGCCUCAUGCCAUCAGAUGUGCCCAGAUGGGAUUAGCUAGUAGGUGGGGUAAUGGCUCACCUAGGCGACGAUCCCUAGCUGGUCUGAGAGGAUGACCAGCCACACUGGAACUGAGACACGGUCCAGACUCCUACGGGAGGCAGCAGUGGGGAAUAUUGCACAAUGGGCGAAAGCCUGAUGCAGCCAUGCCGCGUGUAUGAAGAAGGCCUUCGGGUUGUAAAGUACUUUCAGCGAGGAGGAAGGCAUCAAGGUUAAUAACCUUGGUGAUUGACGUUACUCGCAGAAGAAGCACCGGCUAACUCCGUGCCAGCAGCCGCGGUAAUACGGAGGGUGCAAGCGUUAAUCGGAAUUACUGGGCGUAAAGCGCACGCAGGCGGUCUGUCA
This 597-nucleotide ribosomal RNA is filed under the name Klebsiella pneumoniae. RNAcentral's name for it is "bacterial SSU rRNA". It matches the Rfam family "Bacterial small subunit ribosomal RNA", at positions 1 to 585 of the family's 1533-position model. Lineage: Bacteria; Pseudomonadati; Pseudomonadota; Gammaproteobacteria; Enterobacterales; Enterobacteriaceae. The record is from RNAcentral.